RNAcentral lists this ribosomal RNA (2923 nucleotides) under Klebsiella pneumoniae. RNAcentral's name for it is "23S ribosomal RNA". It matches the Rfam family "Bacterial large subunit ribosomal RNA". The record is from RNAcentral. Lineage: Bacteria; Pseudomonadati; Pseudomonadota; Gammaproteobacteria; Enterobacterales; Enterobacteriaceae.
GGGUUGUGAGGUUAAGCGACUAAGCGUACACGGUGGAUGCCCUGGCAGUCAGAGGCGAUGAAGGACGUGCUAAUCUGCGAAAAGCGUCGGUAAGGUGAUAUGAACCGUUAUAGCCGGCGAUGUCCGAAUGGGGAAACCCAGUGCAAUUCGUUGCACUAUCGUUAACUGAAUACAUAGGUUAACGAGGCGAACCGGGGGAACUGAAACAUCUAAGUACCCCGAGGAAAAGAAAUCAACCGAGAUUCCCCCAGUAGCGGCGAGCGAACGGGGAGCAGCCCAGAGUCUGAAUCAGCUUGUGUGUUAGUGGAACGGUCUGGAAAGUCCGACGGUACAGGGUGAUAGUCCCGUACACCAAAAUGCACAGGUUGUGAACUCGAAGAGUAGGGCGGGACACGUGGUAUCCUGUCUGAAUAUGGGGGGACCAUCCUCCAAGGCUAAAUACUCCUGACUGACCGAUAGUGAACCAGUACCGUGAGGGAAAGGCGAAAAGAACCCCGGCGAGGGGAGUGAAAAAGAACCUGAAACCGUGUACGUACAAGCAGUGGGAGCACCUUCGGGUGUGACUGCGUACCUUUUGUAUAAUGGGUCAGCGACUUAUAUUCUGUAGCAAGGUUAACCGUAUAGGGGAGCCGCAGGGAAACCGAGUCUUAACUGGGCGUUAAGUUGCAGGGUAUAGACCCGAAACCCGGUGAUCUAGCCAUGGGCAGGUUGAAGGUUGGGUAACACUAACUGGAGGACCGAACCGACUAAUGUUGAAAAAUUAGCGGAUGACUUGUGGCUGGGGGUGAAAGGCCAAUCAAACCGGGAGAUAGCUGGUUCUCCCCGAAAGCUAUUUAGGUAGCGCCUCGUGAAUUCAUCUUCGGGGGUAGAGCACUGUUUCGGCUAGGGGGUCAUCCCGACUUACCAACCCGAUGCAAACUACGAAUACCGAAGAAUGUUAUCACGGGAGACACACGGCGGGUGCUAACGUCCGUCGUGAAGAGGGAAACAACCCAGACCGCCAGCUAAGGUCCCAAAGUCAUGGUUAAGUGGGAAACGAUGUGGGAAGGCACAGACAGCCAGGAUGUUGGCUUAGAAGCAGCCAUCAUUUAAAGAAAGCGUAAUAGCUCACUGGUCGAGUCGGCCUGCGCGGAAGAUGUAACGGGGCUAAACCAUGCACCGAAGCUGCGGCAGCGACACUAUGUGUUGUUGGGUAGGGGAGCGUUCUGUAAGCCUGCGAAGGUGGCCUGUGAGGGUUGCUGGAGGUAUCAGAAGUGCGAAUGCUGACAUAAGUAACGAUAAAGCGGGUGAAAAGCCCGCUCGCCGGAAGACCAAGGGUUCCUGUCCAACGUUAAUCGGGGCAGGGUGAGUCGACCCCUAAGGCGAGGCCGAAAGGCGUAGUCGAUGGGAAACAGGUUAAUAUUCCUGUACUUGGUGUUACUGCGAAGGGGGGACGGAGAAGGCUAUGUUAGCCGGGCGACGGUUGUCCCGGUUUAAGCAUGUAGGCUGGUUGUCCAGGCAAAUCCGGAUAAUCAAGGCUGAGGUGUGAUGACGAGGCACUACGGUGCUGAAGUAACAAAUGCCCUGCUUCCAGGAAAAGCCUCUAAGCAUCAGGUAACAUUAAAUCGUACCCCAAACCGACACAGGUGGUCAGGUAGAGAAUACCAAGGCGCUUGAGAGAACUCGGGUGAAGGAACUAGGCAAAAUGGUGCCGUAACUUCGGGAGAAGGCACGCUGGUGUGUAGGUGAAGCCCCUGCGGGUGGAGCUGAGACCAGUCGAAGAUACCAGCUGGCUGCAACUGUUUAUUAAAAACACAGCACUGUGCAAACACGAAAGUGGACGUAUACGGUGUGACGCCUGCCCGGUGCCGGAAGGUUAAUUGAUGGGGUUAUCCGUAAGGAGAAGCUCUUGAUCGAAGCCCCGGUAAACGGCGGCCGUAACUAUAACGGUCCUAAGGUAGCGAAAUUCCUUGUCGGGUAAGUUCCGACCUGCACGAAUGGCGUAAUGAUGGCCAGGCUGUCUCCACCCGAGACUCAGUGAAAUUGAACUCGCUGUGAAGAUGCAGUGUACCCGCGGCAAGACGGAAAGACCCCGUGAACCUUUACUAUAGCUUGACACUGAACAUUGAGCCUUGAUGUGUAGGAUAGGUGGGAGGCUUUGAAGCGUGGACGCCAGUCUGCGUGGAGCCAACCUUGAAAUACCACCCUUUAAUGUUUGAUGUUCUAACGUUGGCCCCUGACCGGGGUUGCGGACAGUGUCUGGUGGGUAGUUUGACUGGGGCGGUCUCCUCCCAAAGCGUAACGGAGGAGCACGAAGGUUAGCUAAUCCUGGUCGGACAUCAGGAGGUUAGUGCAAUGGCAUAAGCUAGCUUGACUGCGAGCGUGACGGCGCGAGCAGGUGCGAAAGCAGGUCAUAGUGAUCCGGUGGUUCUGAAUGGAAGGGCCAUCGCUCAACGGAUAAAAGGUACUCCGGGGAUAACAGGCUGAUACCGCCCAAGAGUUCAUAUCGACGGCGGUGUUUGGCACCUCGAUGUCGGCUCAUCACAUCCUGGGGCUGAAGUAGGUCCCAAGGGUAUGGCUGUUCGCCAUUUAAAGUGGUACGCGAGCUGGGUUUAGAACGUCGUGAGACAGUUCGGUCCCUAUCUGCCGUGGGCGCUGGAGAAUUGAGGGGGGCUGCUCCUAGUACGAGAGGACCGGAGUGGACGCAUCACUGGUGUUCGGGUUGUCAUGCCAAUGGCACUGCCCGGUAGCUAAAUGCGGAAGAGAUAAGUGCUGAAAGCAUCUAAGCACGAAACUUGCCCCGAGAUGAGUUCUCCCUGAGACUUUAAGUCUCCUGAAGGAACGUUAAAGACGAUGACGUUGAUAGGCCGGGUGUGUAAGCGCAGCGAUGCGUUGAGCUAACCGGUACUAAUGAACCGUGAGGCUUAACCUUACAACGCCGAAG